CUUUUGGGAUAUGUAGGGAUGAACAGCUCCUUAAGCUGCCUGCUUACCACAGGUUUAUUCUAGGUACUUGCUGGAAAGGCUCCACAAAUAGCAGUGACUGUGUGUGCCAGCAGGAGGAAGAAGAUGGAUGGGAGCGAACUCCUGCUCCUGGGAGAUGUUUUGCCUCUGGACGCGGAGAACAAGCUGCGAAAUGUUCCCACCAUGUGUUUGUGGAUCCGCCGCACAGGCGGACGUUGCUCAGCUCCAGCACGCUCGUGCAAAACGUGUCGGUGCAGGGAUGACUGAAGUGAGUGACUUCCCUUUCCUCUGGGAGCGCACACGAGGCCGCUGCUCUGCCAAGCACCAAAAGCUGCACCCAAGCCUCCUGCUAGCCAGUGUGAAUAAAAGCUCCAUGCAACUGCAACAGUGA
RNAcentral lists this long non-coding RNA (409 nucleotides) under Anser brachyrhynchus (Pink-footed goose). Its description in RNAcentral is "lncRNA (ENSABRG00000021403.1)". The record is from RNAcentral. Lineage: Eukaryota; Metazoa; Chordata; Aves; Anseriformes; Anatidae.